Molecule: ribosomal RNA, 803 nt
Filed under: Hyalomma anatolicum
Lineage: Eukaryota; Metazoa; Arthropoda; Arachnida; Ixodida; Ixodidae
Description: SSU rRNA
Rfam family: Eukaryotic small subunit ribosomal RNA
Source: RNAcentral
UCAUUAAAUCAGUUAUGGUUCCUUAGAUCGUUUCUUCCUACUUGGAUAACUGUGGCAAUUCUAGAGCUAAUACAUGCAGUGAGCCUGGAACCCUUUGGGUUUACGGGUGCUUUUAUUAGACCAAGAUCGAUCGGGUUUCGGCCCGUAUUGUGUGGUGACUCUGGAUAACUUUGUGCUGAUCGCAUGGCCAUGAGCCGGCGACGUUUCUUUCAAGUGUCUGCCUUAUCAACUUUCGAUGGUAGGUUACUUGCUUACCAUGGUUGUUACGGGUAACGGAGAAUCAGGGUUCGAUUCCGGAGAGGGAGCCUGAGAAACGGCUACCACAUCCAAGGAAGGCAGCAGGCGCGCAAAUUACCCACUCCCGGCACGGGGAGGUAGUGACGAAAAAUAACAAUACGGGACUCUUUUGAGGCCCCGUAAUUGAAAUGAGUACACUCUAAAUCCUUUAACGAGGAUCAAUUGGAGGGCAAGUCUGGUGCCAGCAGCCGCGGUAAUUCCAGCUCCAAUAGCGUAUACUAAAGCUGCUGCGGUUAAAAAGCUCGUAGUUGGAUCUCAGUUCCAGACGAGUAGUGCAUCUACCCGAUGCGACGGCUCGGACUGAACAUCAUGCCGGUUCUUUCUUGGUGCACUUCAUUGUGUGCCUCGAGAUGGCCGGUGCUUUUACUUUGAAAAAAUUAGAGUGCUCAACGCAGGCGAGUCGCCUGAAUAAACUUGCAUGGAAUAAUAGAACAAGACCUCGUUUCUGUUCUGUUGGUUUUUGGAAUACGAGGUAAUGAUUAAGAGGGACGGACGGGGGCAUUCGU